This 795-nucleotide ribosomal RNA is filed under the name uncultured bacterium. RNAcentral's name for it is "bacterial SSU rRNA". It matches the Rfam family "Bacterial small subunit ribosomal RNA", at positions 8 to 796 of the family's 1533-position model. The record is from RNAcentral.
AGAGUUUGAUCCUGGCUCAGAUUGAACGCUGGCGGAAUGCUUUACACAUGCAAGUCGAACGGCAGCACGGGGGCAACCCUGGUGGCGAGUGGCGAACGGGUGAGUAAUGUAUCGGAACGUACCCAGUCGUGGGGGAUAACUAUCCGAAAGGAUAGCUAAUACCGCAUACGUCCUGAGGGAGAAAGCGGGGGACCUGCAAGGGCCUCGCGCGAUUGGAGCGGCCGAUAUCGGAUUAGCUAGUUGGUGAGGUAAAGGCUCACCAAGGCGACGAUCCGUAGCGGGUCUGAGAGGACGACCCGCCACACUGGAACUGAGACACGGUCCAGACUCCUACGGGAGGCAGCAGUGGGGAAUUUUGGACAAUGGGGGAAACCCUGAUCCAGCCAUUCCGCGUGAGUGAAGAAGGCCUUCGGGUUGUAAAGCUCUUUCAGCAGGAACGAAACGGCCGGCUUUAAUAAAGUCGGCUAAUGACGGUACCUGCAGAAGAAGCACCGGCUAACUACGUGCCAGCAGCCGCGGUAAUACGUAGGGUGCGAGCGUUAAUCGGAAUUACUGGGCGUAAAGCGUGCGCAGGCGGCGACAUAAGACAGAUGUGAAAUCCCCGGGCUCAACCUGGGAACUGCGUUUGUGACUGUGUUGCUAGAGUGUAGCAGAGGGGGGUGGAAUUCCACGUGUAGCAGUGAAAUGCGUAGAGAUGUGGAGGAACACCGAUGGCGAAGGCAGCCCCCUGGGUUAACACUGACGCUCAUGCACGAAAGCGUGGGGAGCAAACAGGAUUAGAUACCCUGGUAGUCC